RNAcentral lists this unclassified non-coding RNA (1966 nucleotides) under Apis dorsata (giant honeybee). RNAcentral's name for it is "putative aminopeptidase W07G4.4, transcript variant X3". The record is from RNAcentral. Lineage: Eukaryota; Metazoa; Arthropoda; Insecta; Hymenoptera; Apidae.
AGUGUGAAGUAGGCAGCAAAAAACGAUAGUCGAUUGGUCGUUGUUCUUCCUUCCUCAGUAUUUCGGUCCUUUCGGUGUCUCGUGUCGUGUCGAGAGACGUCUAGGAACGUCACGAUUUUCUCCACCUUCUACACGAUUUUUUAAUCGUGAUCCACGCACAGUUUCAAUCCAAUCCCUUCGAGGGAUUCAGUGACCAAUAGAAAAAUCAUUAUUGAUUUUGAGAAGAGGAUAAUUUCUAGAAAGGAUACGUCGCAGCUACAGUGUACAUCAUGGCGGUAGAAUCGAGAUGGAUGCCAUGUCAACUGAAAAUCGAGCCGAACAUCUGCAGCUGCGACUACGAUGGCAUAAUCCUGGUGUCAGGAUGCGCACCGGGAUACGACGAGCCCGAGCCUUUCAAAACGGUUCUGUUCAGCGCUGCCCAGAUCGAUUCCGCCCUGGGCGUAAUCGGUGCGGUUUUGCCCAUCAAUUUACCCGCGAAAAGGCUCAUUUACAGUCCGACCGGCCCGCUCAACAUGGAUUACCACGACGUGCGGAGCUUCGCCGAGGCGGCCACUAAGGGCGUAAAGAGAGCGUUGAAAGCUGGUGUCAGGUGUCCACUGUUCGCACUCCUGCCGGAUAUCCGCUUCGAGAACGUCGAACUGGUCACUCUUCUUGGAGCCCUCGAAGGUUUCUACGUGCCGCUAGAGGUGCGAGAGACGUGCCCGGAUCGUUGCUACAAGGCGUGUCAACUGGGCGUCUGGAGUCCGAUUUGUAGCAAGAAGCUUCAAGGUAUCGUGAAGCUGGCCUCGGCGCUCGAGAGUGGAAGAUACGUCGCGAGAGACAUCGGCGGCGCAGAUCCCGAAAGAAUGGCGCCACCAAGGGUCGAGGAGUAUCUGGCGGAGCUGUUCUGCGGCUCGAACGUGUCUAUGCAAGUGGUAUCCGACCAGGAGACACUCCUCCAGGAGUACCCGUUGUUCGCUUGCGUGAACCGUGCCGCCUCUAUGAUCCCGCGGCACGCUGGCAGGAUUAUUUUCCUCACCUACGAGCCACCCAAUCCCGCCUGCAUACUUGAAACGGUAAUGUUCGUGGGCAAGGGCGUUACCUACGACACGGGAGGUGCCGAUAUCAAGAGUAAGGGCAACAUGUUCGGGAUGUCGAGGGAUAAAUGCGGGGCGGCGGCCUGCGCUGGAUUCAUGCAGGUGGUGAAUUUGCUGCAACCACCGACAGUGAAGGCGGUGGCGGCUCUCUGCAUGGUGAGGAAUAGUGUCGGUGAAAAUUCGUACGUCUCGGAUGAAGUGAUCACCGCAAAAUCCGGCACGAGGGUACGUAUUGGAAAUACGGAUGCGGAGGGCCGUUUGGUCAUGGCCGAUGCCCUUUGCCAUAUCAAAGAAAUGGCACUGUGCUCGGUCAAUCCGCACAUUUUCACGGUCGCAACGUUGACGUACCAUGCGAUACUCACAGCUGGUCGAGGAUACUCGAUCGCCAUGGACAACGCCGUGGCGCGUUUGGUGAGCAACGCGGAAAAGCUUCAAGCUUCGGGCGAGACAAUGGGCGACCCGUUCGAGAUAUCCAGGAUACGAAGGGAGGAUUUCAGUUUCCACGAGGGUCGAACGGAAGGGGACGAUAUUCUGAAUUCGGGUAAGGAGAGUUCCGGUGUGACGAACAGGGGCCAUCAAGGACCGUCCGCCUUCCUGAUCAUGGCCUCCGGCCUGGACAAGCACGGCACUCGAUCGGGGACACCUCUAAAAUAUUCUCACUUGAAUAUCGCCCCGAGCGCUGGCGAUAUUCCCGAUCCUCCAACAGGUGCUCCAAUUCUGGCAUUGGCCAAACAGUUUCUCUUUCGCGACUGCGAGGAGGCCAGCUAGACGGGCCAGCUUGUCGAAAUUUUAUUAUUUGAAAUUACGUUUUCAGCUUUCCUGAGUCAGGAUCCAGUCAAUCAUGUUUUUUUUUUAAUUUUGUAUUUCGUAUAUACGCGGAGAGAAGCAGA